RNAcentral lists this transfer RNA (73 nucleotides) under Biomphalaria glabrata. It matches the Rfam family "tRNA". From Rfam's summary of the family: Transfer RNA (tRNA) molecules are approximately 80 nucleotides in length. Lineage: Eukaryota; Metazoa; Mollusca; Gastropoda; Planorbidae. The record is from Rfam by way of RNAcentral.
CUCUUGGUGGCUGAGUGGUAAAGCACUUGGCUUCCAAACCAAGGAGUCUUGGGUUGGAAUCUCGGUGAAGACU